RNAcentral lists this ribosomal RNA (1084 nucleotides) under uncultured organism. RNAcentral's name for it is "bacterial SSU rRNA". It matches the Rfam family "Bacterial small subunit ribosomal RNA", at positions 167 to 1254 of the family's 1533-position model. The record is from RNAcentral.
UACUCCAUAAAGUCAAUUUAAGUGCAUCUUUUAUUGAUUAAAGCUCCGGCGGUUAGAGAUGGGCAUGCGUGUCAUUAGCUAGUUGGUGAGGUAACGGCUCACCAAGGCCACGAUGACUAGGGGGUCUGAGAGGAUGAUCCCCCACACUGGUACUGAGACACGGACCAGACUCCUACGGGAGGCAGCAGUGAGGAAUAUUGGGCAAUGGACGCAAGUCUGACCCAGCCAUGCCGCGUGCAGGAUGACUGCCCUAUGGGUUGUAAACUGCUUUUGUUUGGGAAGAAACCCCCGAUCGUGAUCGGGGCUGACGGUACCAUACGAAUAAGCAUCGGCUAACUCCGUGCCAGCAGCCGCGGUAAUACGGAGGAUGCAAGCGUUAUCCGGAUUCAUUGGGUUUAAAGGGUGCGCAGGCGGAAUAUUAAGUCAGUGGUGAAAUCCUGCAGCUUAACUGUAGAACUGCCAUUGAUACUGAUAUUCUUGAAUAUAGUUGAGGUGGGCGGAAUGUGUAAUGUAGCGGUGAAAUGCUUAGAUAUUACACAGAACACCAAUUGCGAAGGCAGCUCACUAAACUAAUAUUGACGCUGAGGCACGAAAGCGUGGGUAGCAAACAGGAUUAGAUACCCUGGUAGUCCACGCUGUAAACUAUGAUCACUCGCUGUUGGCAAUACAUCGUCAGCGGCUGAGCGAAAGCAUUAAGUGAUCCACCUGGGGAGUACGGUCGCAAGAUUGAAACUCAAAGGAAUUGACGGGGGCCCGCACAAGCGGAGGAACAUGUGGUUUAAUUCGAUGAUACGCGAGGAACCUUACCUGGGCUUAAAUGCAGAGCGACGUCCGCCGAAAGGUGGAUUCCUUCGGGCGAUCUGCAAGGUGCUGCAUGGUUGUCGUCAGCUCGUGCCGUGAGGUGUCGGGUUAAGUCCCAUAACGAGCGCAACCCUUAUCGUUAGUUGCCAGCGGGUAAUGCCGGGGACUCUAACGAAACUGCCGGUGUAAACCGUGAGGAAGGUGGGGAUGACGUCAAAUCAGCACGGCCCUUAUGUCCAGGGCUACACACGUGUUACAAUGGUCGGUACAGAGGGCAGCUACC